RNAcentral lists this ribosomal RNA (878 nucleotides) under uncultured archaeon. RNAcentral's name for it is "bacterial SSU rRNA". It matches the Rfam family "Archaeal small subunit ribosomal RNA", at positions 1 to 865 of the family's 1478-position model. The record is from RNAcentral.
UCCGGUUGAUCCUGCCGGACCCCACUGCUAUCGGGAUAGGACUAAGACAUGCUAGUCGAGUGAUUCAGGCAAACGAGUCACGGCACACAGCUCAGUAACACGUGGCUAAUCUGCCUUAGGACGAGAACAACCCCGGGAAACUGGGGCUAACUCUCGAUAGGCGAAGAACUCUGGAAUGAGUCUUUACUAAAUAGUGCAACGUUAUCCUCGUUGCAUCGCUAAGGAUGAGGCCGCGACCGAUCAGGUUGUUGGCGAGGUAAUGGCUCACCAAGCCUUUUACCGGUGCGGGCCGUGAGAGCGGGAGCCCGGAGAUGGGCACUGAGACAAGGGCCCAGGCCCUACGGGGCGCAGCAGUCGCGAAAACUUUGCAAUAAGCGAAAGCUUGACAGGGCUAUCCCGAGUGCCAUCCGCUGAGGAAGGCUUUUACCCAGUCUAGAACGCUGGGGGAAUAAGGAGAGGGCAAGUCUGGUGUCAGCCGCCGCGGUAAUACCAGCUCUCCGAGUGGUGUGGAUGUUUAUUGGGCCUAAAGCAUCCGUAGCUGGCUAGGUCAGUCCCUUGUUAAAUCCACCGAAUUAAUCGUUGGAUUGCGGGGGAUACUGCUUGGCUAGGGGACGAGAGAGGCAGACGGUAUUUUCGGGGUAGGGGUGAAAUCCUAUAAUCCCGGGAAGACCACCAGUGGCGAAGGCUGUCUGCUAGAACGCGCCCGACGGUGAGGGAUGAAAGCUGGGGGAGCGAACCGGAUUAGAUACCCGGGUAGUCCCAGCUGUAAACGAUGCAGGCUAGGUGUUUGGACGGCCACGUGCCGUUCUAGUGCCGCAGGGAAGCUGUUAAGUCUGCCGCCUGGGGAGUACGAUCGCAAGAUUGAAACUUAAAGGAAU